Lolium perenne is the source of this 940-nucleotide long non-coding RNA. RefSeq lists it as uncharacterized. NCBI's taxonomy places the organism in Eukaryota, Viridiplantae, Streptophyta, Magnoliopsida, Poales, Poaceae. The record is from RefSeq and is a predicted model, not a curated record.
ACAGGGACUCCAAACCAAACCAGAAUCCCAGCGAUUUCGCAACGAAUUCGUUGAAUCCUUGACCCCUACGUCACGAAAUCCCUUUAUAUAAACUCCCGCAUCGUUCCCUCUCCGUUUUUUCAAAAAUCGCAACUCUAGAUCACCGAAAAUUCGAUUUCCGAUCUCGCCGGAGUUUCGCCGCUUCGAACUUGAACUGGAGGUCCCAGGACCUUCCUGCCUCCACGAUUCUCUCUAAAUCCUCACCCCUUUUUCCGUCGCACAGGACCACGGGAACGAACAGACGAGGACGUCGGAAUUUCGCCGGGCUUCAUCGUUUUCAGCCGGAGAUACACGCCGUUUGGGACAAGGAGGAUCGCUGACAAGGACGGGAAGAAGAUCACCACGUCGAGCCGCACCUCGUCAUCACCUUCAGAGUCGGAGGCAACCACGCCGUCGUUGCCAUCCACAACGUCGCCGCGUCCUUCGUCCGCCGAGCACCACAUCUGAGAUGCACAUGUUGAGAUGGAUAUGUGGCCACACAAGAAAGGAUCGGGUACGGAACGACGAUAUACGGGAGAGAGUUGGGGUAGCACCGAUUGAAGAGAAGCUGGUCCAACAUCGUCUCAGAUGGUUUGGACAUAUCCAACGGAGGCCUCCGGAAGCGCCGGUGCAUAGCGGACGGAUAAAGCGUGAUGAGAAUGUUAAGAGGGGUCGUGGUAGAUCAAACUUGACAUGGGAGGAGUCCGUUAAGAGAGACCUGAAGGUUUGGAAUAUCGACAAAGAUUUAACAAUGGAUAGAGGUGCGUGGAAGUUAGCUAUCCACGUUUCGGAACCAUGACUUUGCUUCGAGAUCUUAUGGGUUUCAACUCUAGCCUACCCCAACAUGUUUGGGACUGAAAGGCUUGGUUGUUGUUGUUGUUGCUGUAAGUUAAAAUUUGGAAUUCAAAUCCCGUGUUAGCUA